Molecule: long non-coding RNA, 609 nt
Filed under: Oryza sativa Indica Group (long-grained rice)
Lineage: Eukaryota; Viridiplantae; Streptophyta; Magnoliopsida; Poales; Poaceae
Description: lncRNA OsKYG_10g0001030
Source: RNAcentral
AUGGAUGCUUCAAGGGCAACUACGGAACAAUUAAUGGAGAGUGGAGAAGAUGCAAAAACUGCCAAAGGUGCAAAAUGGAUGGCAAAGAAGAGGAAAAGGGCUGUUGAAAGCAUAGCAGCAUUUUGCUAUGAAGCUGGGAUUCCUUUUAAUAUUCUUUGCAUAGAGAGUUUCCAGUUAAUGUUAGAUGAAAUUGGAAAAUUUGGCCCUGGCUUGCAGGGGCCCUCUAUGGAUGAGCUUCGAGAGAAUUUAUUGCAGGAGCAUGUUUCAGCUAUAACUGAUAAAGUUCGAUGGCUGAAGGAUUCAUUGGAGUUUGGGGGAUGUUCUAUUAUUCUUGACACUUGGCUUGAUGAAAAUGGAAGGCGCCUUAUGAUGCUGGGAGCCCACUCUAUUAUUGAGGAUGCAAGGUUAAUCACUGCUUUUAUAUAUGGAUGUGCACAUUUGUUGGACAUGAUGCACAAGUUCACCAACCAAAGGGAUAUAGUCCAAACUGGGAUUACGCAUUCCAUCACAUCCUACUUGAACUUGAGCCUUUAUGAUAAGAGGUUUGAAUUGAAGACUAUGUUUGUUUCUAGGGAUUGGGAGGACAGCAAGUGGUCCAAGGAAGCUGUG